CUACAAGAUAUUGCGAUAUCUCUAACGGUAAAGACAUAACCAUUCGAGAUUUUGCCUUGUGCGAGUUUGAUAAGUAACCAGCGUCAGUAUAACAAACAAGGCAAGCAUCAUUUCAAGGAUCAGGGGGUUAGAUCUGCUCAAGAUGCGUUGGGAUUUGCCCACGUAAUACCUUCAGGGUACGUCUUUAAUACCAAUUCAGUGGUUGCGUAUAGGCGCGGUGCUGCAUCUUUACCAAGAUCAACAGCGAAGGAGAUGUCCUGUCUAAAUACAAUGAGCUAAGUACAACGAAGUGCAAAGUUGAACUUUUAGAUAUGGAAUUUCGGAUUCCAUAGACUCUUCAAGAGUCUCAUUUGCAUAUAACGUAUGGACGAUCAUGGGUAUACUCAAAGGUGACACAU
Molecule: long non-coding RNA, 398 nt
Filed under: Malus domestica (apple)
Lineage: Eukaryota; Viridiplantae; Streptophyta; Magnoliopsida; Rosales; Rosaceae
Description: long non-coding RNA (MDOM_LNC012602)
Source: RNAcentral